RNAcentral lists this ribosomal RNA (707 nucleotides) under Pseudomonas aeruginosa. Its description in RNAcentral is "bacterial SSU rRNA". It matches the Rfam family "Bacterial small subunit ribosomal RNA", at positions 1 to 703 of the family's 1533-position model. The record is from RNAcentral. Lineage: Bacteria; Pseudomonadati; Pseudomonadota; Gammaproteobacteria; Pseudomonadales; Pseudomonadaceae.
GAACUGAAGAGUUUGAUCAUGGCUCAGAUUGAACGCUGGCGGCAGGCCUAACACAUGCAAGUCGAGCGGAUGAAGGGAGCUUGCUCCUGGAUUCAGCGGCGGACGGGUGAGUAAUGCCUAGGAAUCUGCCUGGUAGUGGGGGAUAACGUCCGGAAACGGGCGCUAAUACCGCAUACGUCCUGAGGGAGAAAGUGGGGGAUCUUCGGACCUCACGCUAUCAGAUGAGCCUAGGUCGGAUUAGCUAGUUGGUGGGGUAAAGGCCUACCAAGGCGACGAUCCGUAACUGGUCUGAGAGGAUGAUCAGUCACACUGGAACUGAGACACGGUCCAGACUCCUACGGGAGGCAGCAGUGGGGAAUAUUGGACAAUGGGCGAAAGCCUGAUCCAGCCAUGCCGCGUGUGUGAAGAAGGUCUUCGGAUUGUAAAGCACUUUAAGUUGGGAGGAAGGGCAGUAAGUUAAUACCUUGCUGUUUUGACGUUACCAACAGAAUAAGCACCGGCUAACUUCGUGCCAGCAGCCGCGGUAAUACGAAGGGUGCAAGCGUUAAUCGGAAUUACUGGGCGUAAAGCGCGCGUAGGUGGUUCAGCAAGUUGGAUGUGAAAUCCCCGGGCUCAACCUGGGAACUGCAUCCAAAACUACUGAGCUAGAGUACGGUAGAGGGUGGUGGAAUUUCCUGUGUAGCGGUGAAAUGCGUAGAUAUAGGAAG